AGAGUUUGAUCAUGGCUCAGAACGAACGUUAGCGGCGCGCCUAACACAUGCAAGUCGAACGAGAAAGUCCCUUCGGGGGCGAGUAAAGUGGCGCACGGGUGAGUAACACGUGGGUAAUCUGCCCUUCGGCGGGGGAUAACAUCCUGAAAGGGGUGAUAAUACCGCAUACGACCGCUUCGGCGGGGAAAGGUGGCCUCUCCUUGGAAGCUAUCACCGAAGGAUGAGCCCGCGGCCCAUCAGCUUGUUGGUAGGGUAAUGGCCUACCAAGGCGACGACGGGUAGCUGGUCUGAGAGGACGAUCAGUCACACUGGAACUGAGACACGGUCCAGACUCCUACGGGAGGCAGCAGUGGGGAAUAUUGCGCAAUGGGCGAAAGCCUGACGCAGCGACGCCGCGUGGGUGAUGAAGGCCUUCGGGUCGUAAAGCCCUGUGGGAGAGGGAAGAAAAGCUCAAGGGAACAAUACCCCGUGAGUUUGACGGUACCUCUUCAGAAAGCACCGGCUAACUCCGUGCCAGCAGCCGCGGUAACACGGAGGGUGCAAACGUUGUUCGGAAUUACUGGGCGUAAAGAGCGUGUAGGCGGCCUGACAAGUCAGGUGUGAAAGCCCUCGGCUUAACUGAGGAAGUGCUCUUGAAACUGUCAGGCUAGAGUACGGGAGAGGGUAGUAGAAUUCCCGGUGUAGAGGUGAAAUUCGUAGAUAUCGGGAGGAAUACCGGUGGCGAAGGCGGCUACCUGGACCGAUACUGACGCUGAGACGCGAAAGCGUGGGGAGCAAACAGGAUUAGAUACCCUGGUAGUCCACGCCGUAAACGAUGGACACUAGGUGCUGCGGGUAUUGACCCCUGCGGUGCCGUAGCUAACGCGAUAAGUGUCCCGCCUGGGGAGUACGGCCGCAAGGCUAAAACUCAAAUGAAUUGACGG
Molecule: ribosomal RNA, 923 nt
Filed under: uncultured bacterium
Lineage: Bacteria
Description: bacterial SSU rRNA
Rfam family: Bacterial small subunit ribosomal RNA
Source: RNAcentral